UACAGAGGUCUCAAGCGUUGUUCGGAGUUACUGGGCGUAAAGCGUGCGUAGGCGGUUUUGUAAGUUUGGUGUGAAAUCUCCCGGCUCAACUGGGAGGGUGCGCCGAAAACUGCAAGGCUGGAGUGUGGGAGAGGUAGGCGGAAUUCCUGGUGUAGCGGUGAAAUGCGUAGAUAUCAGGAGGAACACCUGCGGCGAAGGCGGGUUGCUGGGCUGAUGACUGACGCUGAGGCGCGAAAGCCAGGGGAGCGAACGGG
This 254-nucleotide ribosomal RNA is filed under the name uncultured bacterium. RNAcentral's name for it is "partial 16S ribosomal RNA". It matches the Rfam family "Bacterial small subunit ribosomal RNA", at positions 524 to 776 of the family's 1533-position model. The record is from RNAcentral.